Molecule: RNA transcript, 2821 nt
Organism: Adelges cooleyi (spruce gall adelgid)
Lineage: Eukaryota; Metazoa; Arthropoda; Insecta; Hemiptera; Adelgidae
Gene name: poly(rC)-binding protein 3-like
Exons: 13
Source: RefSeq, a predicted model, not a curated record
GUCGAGUUGUGUCAGUGUUCUCACGAACAGAUGAACUCGUCGCCAUUUUCGCCGCUUUUCCUUAUUGAUAAAAAAAAACUUGACCGGAUAUAGAACUGCUUUAGAGCUGCUGUGGGUUAAAAUUUUAACAUUAAUAAUUACCUUUAAAACGUAUUUUACCGUCGUUAAUGAUAUCAAAAACAGUGUAAUAGCAGUAAUAAUUUUUGUGUUGCCAUAAAAUUCGAGCUAGGUUGAAAAUGGAUAAUAUUCAGCAAAACUCCAAUGGUUCGAAUUUCAAUGAUUUUAAUGAUGUUAAUUUGACUAUACGAAUCUUAUUUCAUGGCCGAGAAGUUGGAAAUGUCAUCGGCAAAGGAGGUGAAACAGUUAAAAACAUUAGAGAUCAGUCCGGUGCUAGAGUUUUAAUAUCUGAUGGUUCAACUCCAGAGCGUAUAGUUACAAUCACAGGAACUACUAAUGCUAUUUGUAAAGCCACAGAACUUAUUGGACUCAAAGUGGAAGAGUUUUUUGAAAGACAAAAUGGAGAUUGGAAUGGUCCAAAAGCACCUUUGACAUUCAAAUUGAUAGUGCCGGCCUCGCAGUGUGGUUUUAUUAUUGGUAAAGGUGGAUGUAAAAUAAAAGAAAUCAGAGAAUCGAGUGGAGCCGCUAUACAGGUAGCUUCUGAUAUGUUGCCCAAUUCAACUGAGCGCCUAGUUUCAAUUACUGGCACAACAGGAACGAUUUCUCAAUGUGUUUAUCAAGUGUGCAAUGUUCUAUUAGAUUCACCACCACGUAGUGCCACUAUACCUUACGAUCCACGUAGUAAAACUUCAGGUUUUGCAAACAAUGCUGUUGGAAAUGAUUUUGGAAGGCAACGUACUAACCCUUUAGCUAGUCUUGCCGCCCUUGGGCUAGGGACUGCUUCGACCGGAGGUAUAAAUCCUGCUGCUUUAGCUGCAUUAGCAGGCAGUCAAUUGAGAACAGGAAAUCGUCAUAAUCGUAAUAGUAGUGGAGAUAGUAAAAAUCAAAACUCAAAUUUAAAUAAUGAAACUAUUUCAAUGACAGUACCUAAUGAUUUAAUUGGUUGUGUAAUCGGUAGAAGAGGAAGCAAAAUAGCAGAAAUUCGACAAAUAAGUGGAGCGUUAGUGCAUAUUGCUAAAGGUGAAGGUACACAUGAAAAUGGUGAAAACGAAGAUCGGCAUAUUACCAUAACUGGAAACAAAGACUCUAUAUCGGUGGCAAAGUACUUAAUUGAAAUGAGCGUGGAACUGCAGAAAGCCAAUCUUGAGGGGGCAAACUCAUCCUCUAGUCCUGAUGAUGGGUCCAGCUCAACCUUGCCCAGUCCUCCGACGGUGGCCGCAUCUCCUUUGUCGUCCGCCAUCCCACUGGCUCAACUGUUCGCCAAGCCGGGCGCAAUAAAUGCUCUCUCCAGCUUAUCUGCUCUUGGUGGCUUAACCGACCUCCUGGGAGCCUUAUCCGGCGCCACUCAAUCCCCUCCAAUACAGACCACGGGUGUUCAUCGCCCGAAAAAUUAUUUCCAGCGAAACCGCAGCCCUUCUGGCGACAAAACUAAAGCAGACAGGACCAAGUUUGCUCCUUACUGAAUACUUAUUUAUUGAUCCCGCAUCCACAAAUUAUUGUCGUUCAUUAUAGUUUUUAAUCCUAUUCAUCUUCAUUUCUUUAUUAUAAGUAUUUUUUUUUUUUUUUUGUUAUUUAACUUAAUUAAAAAUGCAACAAUUUUUCCACUUUUGAAAGCCCGGAAAAUAUUUCUAUUUUAUUUGUCAUCCAUUUGUCUGUUUUUAUUAAAUAUAACUUUUGUUUUAAAGAGUUGAAUCAACUUAAAUUUUAAUAAUUACCUUAUAAAUUUGUCCUUAACGGGUCAAAAUACUUUGCAUUAAGGUUUUGGUAAAUUAUUUUUAAUUAAAAUAUUGUAUUGUGUCCAAUUUAUUUUAUUUCACUUUUUAGUUAUAGAGUGUUUCCAAUCACUACAUAGUCUAUAUCUUAAUUCUUACAUAAUUUUGUAGUUCUUAAUGAAUAAUAUAAUAUCUUGUAUUCCUUAGAAAAAAAAUCAUAUUUUUUAUUAUUGUUUUUCCUUUAAAACCCAUUCUUACAAAUGCAGUCCAAGGAAUAUAUUAAAUAAGUAUCGGCAUAAGCCACAGCAGCAAGAACAUCUCUAAAUCAAUGAUAAAGAGGGACUGUGGAGAAAUAAGCUAAUGAGAUGUGUCCUGUUGAAUAUGGCUUAUGUUUAUUCCUAACAUUGUACACUAUGAAAAUCAACUCUAAUUAAAAUGAAAAUUCUAAAGGUUCUAUUUUUACUAGACUGGAUACACAAAAAUGGGUUCAUUUGAAGUUCUCUCGAUGAAACUACUGUAUAAAUUAAUCACUUCAAAAACGGUGGCAAAAAAAGUUGUCCAUUCAAUAUAAAAACCCAGGUGGCAGAUGGAUUUAUAAGAUGUCAACACUUUUCAUAUCAGUUAUAGAUGAAAUAACUGAGUAAUUAAUAAACGCGGUUUAUUUACAGAAAAUGGACAACUAAACAUAUGACCAUGAAGACUAGAACAAGGAGACCUAACUCUGUUUAUCGGGUAUCAUUCAAAAAUGAGUCACAUGAUUAAUUGCUCACCAGAAUGUGGGCGGAUGGGUAGCUAAUUUUUACAUGUUCUUAUUCAUUUGUUUAAAUUGAUUAUAACAUGGAAAGCAAUAAAAAUAUGAAAACCUUUUUUUUAUUACAAUAUUUUAUGUAAUAUUAUAAUUAUUAUUUUAUAAUUUAAGUUUAACAAUAUAAUAAUUAUCAAUAUUAAAUAUGCAAUCUAAAAACAAUUAUUAGAGAAUGAGUGUUCCAAAA